AUGGACCUCCAGAUUUCCUUACUGAUGGAGUCUCACUCUGUAGCCCAAGCUGGAGUGGCGUGAUCUCGACUCACUGCAACCUCCGCCUCCUGGGCUCAAGUGAUUCUCGUGCCUCAGCCUCCUGAGUAGCUGGGACUACAGGUCAUAGAAUUUUCCACACUCCUUGACGGAGGUUCUUAACCCUUAUCCAUCAGCAUUCUCAGACAGCACCUCCGGUUAGGGACAGUAUCUGACCGUCCGACAUCCCUGCAGCCCCCAUGCUGUCACACAGACUCAGCCUCAGGUAGAUGGUUUCCGUAGAUGGUGGCUUUCUUUGGACCCUUGAUAUCAACCAGUUACUAUUUG
Molecule: non-coding RNA, 345 nt
Filed under: Pongo abelii (Sumatran orangutan)
Lineage: Eukaryota; Metazoa; Chordata; Mammalia; Primates; Hominidae
Source: RNAcentral